ACACUUAUCUGGCAGGGGAGAUACCACGAUCAAGCAGGCGAUUUUCCCGGAACGAGGCUUGUCCAUUGCACUGAGGAUGUGCUGAACUCUGAGAUUUCCCCAAAGGUGGGAAACUCGACUGCAUAAAUUGUAGUAGUGGGUGACUGUGUUUGCGCUCUCCCCUG
Small nuclear RNA from Leptonychotes weddellii (Weddell seal), 164 nucleotides. RefSeq annotates it as U1 spliceosomal RNA. NCBI's taxonomy places the organism in Eukaryota, Metazoa, Chordata, Mammalia, Carnivora, Phocidae. The record is from RefSeq and is a predicted model, not a curated record.